CGCGGGGUAGAGCAGUUCGGUAGCUCGUCGGGCUCAUAACCCGGAGGUCGGAGGUUCAAAUCCUCCCCCCGCUA
RNAcentral lists this transfer RNA (74 nucleotides) under Candidatus Zixiibacteriota bacterium. RNAcentral describes it as "tRNA-Met". It matches the Rfam family "tRNA". Rfam says of the family: Transfer RNA (tRNA) molecules are approximately 80 nucleotides in length. Lineage: Bacteria; Pseudomonadati; Candidatus Zixiibacteriota. The record is from RNAcentral.